UGCUCCCUCCCCCUCCCUGUACCUCUCACCCCUCCCUUCUCUCCUCCUCUCCGUAUCAGCACCACAGACCCACAAGCAUCCGAGUGACGCACGAAAGAAAGAGACACAGAUACAAUUAACAGGAGCAGCAUCAGGACCACAUCCACCUGCCAGCAAGAAUCAGGACCAAGGACAGCAGCAGCCUGCACAGAGCCUUGGGGAAUCAUGACCAGAGAGGAUCCCCCUGACUCCACCCCAGAGGAGAGCAAACUCCCCCUGGAAUUCCAGAGCCCAUUACUAGAAAAACGGAGAAGACCUAUGGUUCACCCUUCAGCACCUGCUCCUCUGCCUAAGGACUAUGCUUUUACAUUUUUUGACCCCAAUGACCCUGCUUGCCAAGAGAUUCUGUUUGAUCCACAGACCAGUGUACCAGAACUUUUUGCCAUUAUACGACAGUGGGUUCCUCAAGUUCAACACAAAAUCGAUAUAAUUGGCAGUGAGAUCCUAAAGAGAGGCUGUCACGUGAACGACAGGGAUGGAUUGACAGAUAUGACCUUAUUACAUUAUGCCUGCAAAGCUGGAGCACAUGGAGUGGGUGAUCCUGCAGCUGCUGUUAGACUGACCAAUCAGCUUCUUCUGCUGGGAGCAGACAUUACCCUGCGCAGUCGCUGGACCAAUAUGAAUGCUCUGCAUUAUGCUGCUUAUUUUGAUGUUCCAGAACUUCUUCGCACUCUCUUGAAAGCAUCAAAGCCCAAAGUGCUGAAUUCCACCUGUAGUGAUUUUAACCAUGGGACUGCUCUGCAUAUUGCUGCCUCCAAUCUCUGUCUCGGAGCUGUGAAAUGUCUGCUUGAACAUGGGGCAAAUCCUUCUGUCAGAAAUAGCAAGAGCCAAGUACCAGCUGAUGUAGUUCCUGACCCUAUGGAUAUGGGCCUGGACAAGGCAGAGUCUGCUAUGAUUGCCAAGGAGCUGAAACAGCUGCUGUUGGAUGCUGUGCCCUUAACCUGUAACCUGCCCAAGGUUACAUUACCAAACUAUGAUAACAUCCCUGGCAACCUAAUGUUGGCAUCCCUGGGACUGAAAUUGGGUGACAGAAUACUGUUGGAUGCAGAAACGGCUGGCACCCUUCGUUUCUGUGGAACCACCGAAUUUGCCAGUGGACAGUGGGUUGGAGUGGAGCUGGAUGAACCAGAGGGCAAAAAUGAUGGUAGAGUAGGGGGAAUCCGCUAUUUCAUUUGCUCCCCUAAACAGGGCAUUUUUGCUCCUGUGUCCAAGAUCAGCAAAGCCCCUGAUCAACAACCAUCCUCAGUUACCUCCACUCCGAGGACUCCCCGUAUGGACUUCUCUCGAGUCACUGGGAAAGGAAGAAAGGAAAAGAAAGCUACAACCAAGAAAUCAAUGAGUGUGGGGAGCCUGGACAAAGAGGGCCUGAAGAUCGACAUUGGGGACCAGGUGCUUGUGGCUGGUCAGAAACAGGGAACUGUGCGAUUUUAUGGAAAAACUGAUUUUGCCCCUGGGUACUGGUUUGGCAUUGAAUUGGAGAAACCCACUGGAAAACAUGAUGGCUCGGUUUUUGGUGUUCGGUAUUAUACUUGCUCCCCAAAACACGGAGUAUUUGCUCCCCCAUCCCGGGUACAAAGGAUGGGUGGUCCCAAAGAACCCCAGACAGACAACAAUGGUAUGAAGAAGGUGCAUCAAGUUACUAGUAGUGACACAGCCAAAGCGUAACUUCACAACAGUGCGGACUCCAAAAGAAAUUGCUUCAGAAAACUCCAUCUCCAGGUUGCUGUUCUGUUGCUGGUUUCCAUGGCUCCUCCGUGCUGAGAUGCAGUCUUAAAAAUCUGUGUUCUUUUGUCACCUGUAUGUUGGGUCACACAAUGAUGGGUCCUUCUUUCUAUGUAUGCUGUCCUCUGGACCCCCCCUCCCCAGUGCCUUCUCCACAUCUUCCAGCUUGUCACCACUGAUUUCUGCACCCACUGGAAGAAGGUGACAGGGGAGACUAUCACCCUGCGCAAGAUUGUGCAAGAAUGUGUGUGAAUGGAUCUGAGCUCUCUCUGUUCCCAACACCAGUUAUGCCACUAAAUAUUUCAAAUUGGCUGAAUAAAUUGCCUUACUCCCAAUGCUAAAUUGCUGAGCUUUACUUUAAGUGAACCCUCACUCUAUACUGCAAUAUAAAGCAAUAUUGAGAAUAACUGAUAGCUCCCAAUAGAUAUUCUGUAGUUGGGCAAAGAAAAAGCUCUUGACAUUGCAUGUGAUGUUUCGCAUUUCUUGUGCGCUGCCGCGUGGGGAAGGUUUUCUUCAGGUGAGCUGUCUUACAUUAUCAAAGUUUUACUUUUUAGUGUGGAGCAGUCUCAUUCUCAGAUGGACAGUUCAUUAUAGAGUUCCAAGCCAAUUUGGAGAAACCGCACACCUCACAAAACCGAAGCAGCGUGUCCUGGUGCUCGGUGGUAGGGGAAUCGGCAACCACCCAACCAAGGUACGUAGAAGGAUCACCGGCACACAGGAAUUUAGUUAGCAGG
Molecule: RNA transcript, 2495 nt
Organism: Xenopus laevis (African clawed frog)
Lineage: Eukaryota; Metazoa; Chordata; Amphibia; Anura; Pipidae
Gene: clip3.L
Gene name: CAP-Gly domain containing linker protein 3 L homeolog
Exons: 14
Source: RefSeq, a predicted model, not a curated record